UAGUUUAUGUUUGUGCUUUAACCUUAAAAGUCUCGAAACUCACUUAAUGCAUUAUACCACGACAAUAGAAAUUAAAUUACUGCGACCACACUUUACAUUGCAGAAAAAGGGAAUUUGGGAAUGCAUAUAUAUAAAGUGUCUCGAAUGAGAGAGAAAAUGAAUACUGUCAGCACCGUAACGUAAAAACGUUUUUCCCAUAAGAACUGUCUAUAUAUGGUUUCAUGCAUCUAAAAAAAGUCUUUUGCUUACAAUAAGUAUGAGGAUCAAGAUCAGAUGAUUUGAUGAUAACGUGACAAUUGACAGUUCUCUAAUAACCCAACUUUAUUGUUUAUUUAUUUGAUUUCGCUGUUGGAUUAUCUCAUCAUUCUAAAACACGUAAAAUGUCUGUAGCGUGUUAAUAUUGUAAUAAAAUCUGACAGUUUAGUGUUAAUAGACACAUUAGAGAAAUUCAUUUGGAACAAAUUGAACCUGUUUCAUAUGCUAAAGUGUGGUAAUUGUGAUACAUCGUUUCAGCAAGGACCAUUUUUAAUGGAUCAUUUGAAAAAAGUUUUGAAAUUUGAAGAUUAAAUAAUUAAAAAGAUUAAUCAGGUGUUCUGUAAAUUACAAAAUUUUGAUUAUAAUAAUUUGGAUAAUUCUACGCUGGAUAAAUUUCAUUACCAUUUGAAUAUACUUAAGUUUCUUUUCCACAAAAAAGAAAAAACAUCAACAGGUUGUAUCAUUGACUCAGAACGAUUGGAAACUAAGAAGGCGUUGCAAAGUGGGAUCUGCUCUAGUGAUAUCGAGCAAAAGACCAUUCGUAUUGCAAGAUAUAAUUUAUAUAUUAAAGAUGAAUUUAUAUGAUUAAAAAAAGUUUCAUCAAUAUUUGUUUAUUUUUGAUUCAAUUAAGAUACAUAAUUUGUUAGGUACAUUUAUUAUACAUUGUCCAGAAAUAAUAAUUCAGAUUCCACCAGCUUGGAGAACCUGGAAAAGUAAUUAAAAUGGGGAAGAGCAAUGAUCAAUUAAAAAUUGUCCUUGCUGAAAGGAUGUAUAACAAUUAGGUUAUAAGUACUUGAAACCCCACAUUUUUUAAGCAUAUGAAACAGGUUCAAUCUGUUCCAUAUGAAUUUUUCUAAUGUGUCUUGUAUAUAUAUCGUAUAUUGUUAACACAAAAAUUUUUCUAUGAUUUUGUAAUGUUUAGGUUAACGAGAAGUGUCGACUGUCAUAAUUAUUGUAAAUAGUGUCGGGAAAUUAUAAUCUCGUAGAUGAUUACAAAAAAUUAUGUGCCAAGAAUAAUUAACCUCAAAAUUAUGAACUGAUAGGUCAAUCUGAUACCUACAGUAAAUAAUAUAUUGACUUGUGCUUUUUAGUAAAAUCAAUUAAUUUCCAAUUUAUAAUAAUUUAUGUAAAUUAAAACCACAAAUAUUUCCAUAACGAUAUCCGCUAUUUAAUGGAAUGCGAUGUAUUCAAGUUACAUUGCACAAAGUUGGAUCAUUUCAUUUUUUAUGCAUUGAACAAUUAUUUCAUUGUUAUCUACCUACAAUCUGUCUAUUUUUAAAUUGUAAAUAUAAUACUCCACUGUUUAACUUACUACGUAAAUAUACACAGUUUUCUAUUAGUUACAUACAACAAUAAUUAACAAUCUUUUAUAACCAUUGAGUGUAAAAAUAAAUAAACAAAUCAAAUAAUUAAACAUCAUUUGCAAUUUAAUCGACCAAUUUCAUAAUAUCAAUAGUGCUAAUUUCGGAAUGUCCUAGAAAAUUAUACUUCAAUAUCAAUUCUUCGUUAUUCAAACAUAAAUUGGAAUGUAUAGGGUGAUACAAUAAACUCAAAUAUAGUCGUCGCUUUAUUUUCAACACAUAUUUAAAUAUGUUGCAAAAUUUAUUAAACUGAUUCUCACUACUAUAAUUUAUGUUUAGUUUAUUAAUAUUUCAUCAGACGAGUGGAUUAGUUUUUACACUCGUAAAUGGGUCAAGACUAUUACUGACAAAUUGCAAAUAUUAUUUUAAGUUAAUUUCUUGUGUUUCUUUGUAUAUAAUCGGUUUUCAUUAGUUAGUAUGAUACUCACUCUUAAUUUUUAAUAUAUUUAUUCUAAUCUAGUUUACAAAAUCGUCUUAUAUAUAUAUUUUUUUUUUCGUAAAAAAGACUUUACUAAAUUGAAGGUUAGUAUAAACAUUGAAGAGAUAAUGUUUGACAAUAACAGAAAAUAUUAGGCCUUAAAUUAAGAGUUCAUUUUUUUGGCACAUUUACCACAAACAGCAAUAAUGUGUUCUAUACAAAGCCACGAUUUCUAAAAACUUACUGAAAUAUGGUAUUUGUCGUUUUUUACAUCCUUGUUUAUUUGUAGGAGAAUCCUGUGGAGGUUCAACAUUCUUUUGAGUAAAUUUGGCAACCGUUUAUCGAAUAUGUCUUGGCAAAGUUUAAAUAGUUGCCCUUUUUGCAAUGUUUUCUUUUACUAAUUGUAAUAUUAAUUUUUUUGAAAAAAAGAUUCUUCUACUUUGAGAUGCUGGGGCAUUAUUAAUUUUGUGAAUGAUCUAUGCAUUGUUAGCAAUCUAAGAUUCCAUAUAAUAUUACUUUGUCAACAAUAUCACAUUUUGUGAGUUAUACAAAGUAAUAAUUUCAGUUUUUUCAGCAUCACCUGAUUUUUCAUCUAUUACACAUUCUCGAUUGGAAGAAGAACAAUCUUAUUUUUUUUAGGAACAUGAGAUAUCAAAUUGUACACCUGAAACUGCCCAUUUGGUGCACACAGUCAUAAAUUUCUAAGUUUGUAAAGUAUAAACAUGCAGAAGGCACAUCUACCAAGAAAAGCAAGGAACAUUUUGUCUAAUGUAAAAUACUCUCCUACUGAAUAACACUUGCACUUAUCAUUAAAUAUUUGAAAUAUUUUCCUUUCAGGAGCUACAUCAUUGAAAAUUAUUCACAACUUCAUUAAAUAAAUUAGAUACUUAAAAUAUGGGGUGCUAGUUGGCAAAUUUAUAUUUUAUUCAAUAUACAAUAUAUUGUUGCCAAUGUU
Diorhabda carinulata is the source of this 2989-nucleotide long non-coding RNA. RefSeq lists it as uncharacterized. NCBI's taxonomy places the organism in Eukaryota, Metazoa, Arthropoda, Insecta, Coleoptera, Chrysomelidae. The transcript has 3 exons. The record is from RefSeq and is a predicted model, not a curated record.